RNAcentral lists this long non-coding RNA (1122 nucleotides) under Monodelphis domestica (gray short-tailed opossum). Its description in RNAcentral is "lncRNA (ENSMODG00000033698.2)". The record is from RNAcentral. Lineage: Eukaryota; Metazoa; Chordata; Mammalia; Didelphimorphia; Didelphidae.
AACACUUGUAAUUUCGACAUCAUUUCUCCUGGAAUAAUAACUAGGAUUGUGCACAUUUCAGCAAUUUUCUUUUUCACAUUUUCAGUCAGGUGAUCCUUGAACAUGUUGAGUAUGAGCAUCCUUCUCUGACUCAGUAACGCACCUGAGCACCUACCCAAGACCACAUUCAACCAAUCUAACACAAGUUCUUCAUUCAUCCAUCCAUUUUCCUGCACACAAAAGAUCACUCCUGAUGGUAACUUAUCCUGAGGUAAUGUAAUUUUAAGGUGUGUAAUUUAAAGUGGUAAUUUUAAGGUGUAAAACCUUAAAAUUAUGUAAAGAAUCAGUUUUCACCUAUCAGUUGUGACUGUAAGCAUCACAUUCAUUCUUUUCUCAUUUUCAUUAGUUUUAAUCAACACUGAUUUGACACUGUUAGUAUUAACGAUGAUAUUUGAUGAAAUAUCAAAACAACAUGUGUUUGGUUGGGAUGUCUCAUCUGCCCCAGGAGACAACCAUGUUUAUUACGUAUGCUGAGGUGCACAAUACACAACUUAUGGUUUCAAAGCUGGAAGUGUUCGAAUAUAGUGCGAAUGCAACUUUCAAAGACAUGAAGAGAGAGGUUUUGAAGGACUUGUGGACCAAGAUGCAAAAGCCAGGGUUCCAAUGGAAUGUCCCAAGGAGGGGCAGUUGGGGGUUUGCUGGCCACACUCUGAGAGGAGAAACUGAGCUUGUGGACUUUGUCUCUGACUGGGGGACACACACUCUUUUCCCUGGAAGUUUGAAGCUGUCUGAGAGACUUUUGUGAUGCUGACUUGGCUUUUGGACUUUGUCUCUGGCUCUGAGCAGUGGAAGGUGAUCAGGGAGAAGCUUUGAGUUGGUGGUCUAUAAGAGAGUUGAGCUGGCCAGGAGAAAAGGAGAGACUUUGAACAUUGUUUCUUUCUGAGGUUAAGCUGAGAGAUCUGGCUGAUUUGUGAAGAAGAAGAAAGAACUGCUAUUGUCCUCCAUCUUUCUAACUGUCUAAGAGUCAUACUUGUGACUCCCCAAACCCUCAAUUUUAUCUCAUUUAGAUUAGGGAAAUUCCUCAUCCCUCUUACCUCAGUUUCCCAUCCUGUUAUACCAAUAAACUCCUCGACUGAGAAAGCA